This is a long non-coding RNA of Brassica rapa (field mustard), 3703 nucleotides long. RefSeq lists it as uncharacterized. NCBI's taxonomy places the organism in Eukaryota, Viridiplantae, Streptophyta, Magnoliopsida, Brassicales, Brassicaceae. The record is from RefSeq and is a predicted model, not a curated record.
GAUAAUUAAUAUAUUUAUAAAUAAACUUAACAAUAUUUGUUAAAAGAAAUUUCUUAUACAAGUCAAAUGUAUAUUAAUAUAUCAAAAAUUUAUAAAAAUAAAAUAAAUUAUAUUUUUCUCAGUGGGUUAAUAACGGUCUUUUUGAUUUUCAGAUACUUUUACUAUAUUCAUUUUAUUAUAUUCUAUCCCACUAUAUAUGAGUUAUUAGAUCUUAUGGUUCGACCACAAGGCUGAUUCGGAUAUGAAAACUCAAUGAAAACAUUGUACCGGACUUAAAUAAUAAUAAUAGAACAGCUUUUAAAUAUUUUAGAUAUCUAAUAAUAAAUAUAAAUUUAUUUAAUAUUUGAGUUUACGGUCACCAAAAAAAUACCUGCGCUUCUUAAGCGCGGAUCAAAAUCUAGUUAUUUAGUAUAAUAGAUAAAAUGUUUGUCGGUUUGUAAUGAGAAUUAAAUGAUAUGAUUUUAAAUUAAUGAUUUUCUAGUGAAGGUCCAUUUUUUUUUAAUAUCACACAUGAAUGAUAAGUCAUGAUAUCUCUUUAAUAGAUAUAUAUGAAGAUGUGUUUAUCAUUUUUUAAAACAUAAUAAUUUUAUCGUAUGUUUUUUUAUUGAAUUGGUUGUUUCCAGAUCACGUUUUUUUGUUUGGAAAAGAUUGAUAGUUAUUUAGUUCCUAUAAUCUAGAAAGUGAGUUAUUUAGAUCUAUAAUAAUGAUAAAAUUAGAGAUUAAAUGUAAUAUGACUUUUUAAUAAUAGGUUCAUUAGGUCUAUUAGAUUGUUUUUUUUUUAAAUCACACAUGAGUCAAAGUCGUGACUUCUCGUUUAAUAUAUAAGAUUAAAGUUAUCAUAUUCUUUCAUAAAAGCACUUAUUUUCGGGGACAAAUUAAUUAUCCUUAAAAAGAUUAAUUUAGCUAAUUCUUUACACUAAACACCAAGCAACAGCCGCAACUUCGAUUUUCAAUUUUCAAGUUUCAACAACUAUUCCAGAUUUAUAGAAUUGAACUGUUGGGAUGUCACUAUUUCCAGUUAUAGAAUACAUCCUUAUAUAUUUUUAACAUCGCUGAUUUGAUCAAUAUAUUUCUGUAUGCGUUGUAUUGUGCUUUGUCAUUUUGAGAACAAGUCAACGCUGGUUUCCUAGAAUAGAAAAUAGUCCUCCAUUAUUAACACAUAUUUAAUAACAAAUAUUGAAGCGUGAAUCAAAUAGGAGUAGUUUUAUCUUUAAUUAAUUUUUUAUAAAUUUUAAAAUCCUGUUUAAAGGAUAUAAAAUAUUGAGUUCAAACUGGCUCGUUCCGUUAGACAAUUCCAGAGAUACAAAUAGGAAUAACUUUUAGUAACUUAUAAAAAUUAUCUACAAUUGUUCUAUUCCAGAAAAUCAAUUGCGAAACUAAAAUUGUAUAUCUGAAAAGUUCUGAAUGAUAAAUAAUUUAGAAGUAUAGAUAAAAAAUCUUUUGGAAUUUAUCAGAUAUGCAAAGAAUGAAUGAUAGGCUUGGUUCCAUGCAAAUGUGACAAUCUAGAAGCUCCGAAAUUCCACAAGCAUUACCUAUUGAAGAAUCACAAGUUUUAAGUUUGGGUGAUAUUUGUAUGGUGGAUGGCUUUGAAAUAAUAGUAUGGAAACGAUCAAACUAAUGAGAACGCAACAUCUAAGAAGGCGAAAAGAUUUGUUACACACAUAAAUAAAAGCAUUAAAAUGGGCUAUGGAAAAGAUACUACAAUAUUCGACGUGUCAGAAUUUUGGAACGGAUUACAAGGACCUGAUUACAAUAAUAAAAGAACCACAAGCUCGACUUAGUUUCUCAAGAGAGCUAAAGGUGAUUCAUACACUUUAGAUAUGUUUUUCGGACUAUAUAAUUUCUUACAUUCCAAGAGCGCAAAACGGAAUUGUUAAUUCUUUUGUUAAGAAUGCUCGUUUUUUUUCACAGAGAUAUUUGUUACAUUAGUUAUUCUAUUCCGGUCUGGUUAUCCAUACUACUUCAAAUUUAAAUAAUUGAACCAAAAAAAAUCAAUUGCGUAGGUGACUAAGACACAAUAUAUAUACUAUAGAGUAAUAAUAUGAUGCGAAAUGUAUAGCGAAACAAACAGCUAAAUUAUAGGUGGUUGAAAAGAACAAUAAAUGAAUAAUAUAUUAUAUUAUAUGGAAUAUUGAAAUCGAAAACUAUCUCAAUCCACCAACCCUUUUUGAAAAAAAAUAAUUAUUGUGAAACAUGCGUCCAUAGUAACAUGACUACAAGACUCUUACGUUGGUUUUGUAUUAAAUAUUGGGUAGAUUUUAAAGUUCGAUAUUGCAAAUAAUUAUAUAUAUAUAUUAUAUAUAUGUGUGUGUGUGUUCAUUUCGUUGCUGUAAUUGUGAAUAAGAAUUAAGCUCCACUAGAUCUUUUCAUUUUUAUUUUCUUGAAAAGUUUGAGCUUCUCCAGUUAGUAGAGUUUGGAUUUUAAAUCAACUGCUAAAUAUUACAAAAUAUUUUAUUUAUUAGUAACUAUUUAUCAUCAUAAGUAUUUGUGAUAAAUAUUUUUUAUCACAGGUAAGUAAUCUAUGUGUGAUCAUAUAUCUUCUACAACUUUUUUAUAGAUACAAUUUUCGGAUUAAAACUAAAUUUUGAAUCUUACGGACCUAAAAGAUUAAAACUAAAAAUAACUUUGGAUUUUACGUUUUAUAUGCCCAAAAGUUAGAAGUUCAGGCCAGUUGACGAUUCAAAUUUUAUAUAAAGUGACAGUUGACGAUUUAUAUUUUAUAUAAUGUGACAAUGGUACUUAGGUUUCGGAUGGGAAAUACAAAUAUAGUGGUUUGAAUUUAGUGAAUCUAGUGGAUCAAGCGGAAAAAAAUGAAUCUAACAGUUUAAGUGCAGUUCGAACAGAUUUAGUGUCCAAAAUGUUUGUUUAAAUGGCGAAAAUGGUCUAAAGCAUUGUAUAAAAUUAUAAUAUAUAUAUAUAUAUAUAUUUAUAUUUAAAACUAAAUCAAUAGAUGAAAUAACACAUAAUUUAUAUAUAUAUAUAUAUAUAUAUAUAUAUAUUAAAGUGACAUAGUUUAAUUAAAUAAAAAGCCAAUUUUUAAUAAUAUAUUAAUUAUAUAUUAUAAACUAGUUUUCUAUGACUAUCCAUAAAUAUAUAAACUGUAUUAGUAAAUAAAUGGAAAAAAUAUUAUUAAAUAUAUAAACUACAAUACACUGUAUAAACAGAUUUAAUACCAACAGAAAAUAUAAUAACUACAUGAUAAACUGAUAUAUAUAUAUAUAUAUUAUUUUUUAAAGUAAGAUAAGUAAAGUAAAAUAACACGAGCUGCGUAAAACGUUUCAAAUUGCUAGCACUUAGCAGUCGUUGGCUUAUCUUUACAAAAGAGAACAACAAGCAGUCUAUUUUAAUUUAUUAUUAAAAUUUUCUGAAUGGAUAAUUUUUUAUAUAUUAUUCGAGAAACAUUACAACAUUUGAAAUAUUACAUGUGUUAUAACUAUGAUGAUCCUUAUAUUUUUUAGAAAAAAUAAGUUGGUUCAUGACAGAGUUAUGAAAACUACCGCUGAAAUUGACCAAAAACAACUGCUGAAAUAGCUAAGUGUUAGAAUAUUUAGUUGAUAAAUUAUCAAAAGAAAGGAGCUAAAGGGUGUUUGAAAAUGUAAUAUUUAUAAUCAGGACUAUUACUUUCAAGAUUUUUCCAAAUCCGAGCCAUUGAUCAAUUCCUACCAAAACAAUAAAGUAUCUAUAAAGAAUUUAAAUAGUGUAU